Molecule: ribosomal RNA, 422 nt
Filed under: uncultured bacterium
Lineage: Bacteria
Description: partial 16S ribosomal RNA
Rfam family: Bacterial small subunit ribosomal RNA
Source: RNAcentral
GAAUUCUGGACACUGGGGGCAACCCUGAUCCAGCCAUCCCGCGUGUGCGAUGAAGGCCUUCGGGUUGUAAAGCACUUUUGGCCGGGAAGAAAAGUCUCUGCCUAAUACCUGGCGCUGCUGACGGCCCCUGCAUAAUAAGCACCGGCUACCUAUGUGCCAGCAGCCGCGGUAAUACGUAGGGUGCAAGCGUUAAUCGGAAGUACUGGGCGGAAAGCGUGCGCAGGCGGUUCGGCAAGAAGGAUGUGAAAUCCCAGGGCUUAACCUUGGAACUGCAUUCUUAACUGCCGGGCUAGAGUAUGUCAGAGGGGGGUAGAAUUCCGCGUGUAGCAGUGAAAUGCGUAGAGAUGCGGAGGAAUACCGAUGGCGAAGGCAGCCCCCUGGGAUAAUACUGACGCUCAUGCACGAAAGCGUGGGGAGCAAAC